Molecule: long non-coding RNA, 707 nt
Filed under: Phoenix dactylifera (date palm)
Lineage: Eukaryota; Viridiplantae; Streptophyta; Magnoliopsida; Arecales; Arecaceae
Description: long non-coding RNA (PDAC_LNC003697)
Source: RNAcentral
AGGAUCAAGUAAAGAAGAAGUCGAGCUCCUCCAUCUUCAAAACUCGUUUGAGGGCUUCUCUUUACUCUAUUUGUUUAUAUUGUCAUAUCUGCUUGCUUAAGAAGCUUUGAUUUGUUCUUAUUCUUUGUUUUAAUAUCUUGUAACUUGAUUCAAUCAAGGGAUUGAAUCAAGGGGUUAAAGGUUUGUUGGUGAGCCAAAGGGAAAACCAACGGUGUAAGGUUUGUUGGUGAGCCAAAGGAAAAACCAACGGGAUUAAGGUUUGUUGGUGAGCCAAAGGAAAAACCAACGGGAUUAAGGUUUGUUGGUGAGCCGAGGGUAAAACCAACGUGUAAGGGUUUGAUUGUGAGCCCGGGAAAACAAUCGGGGUUGGUUCUAGUCGGUGAGCCUGGGAAAACCGACCGAGUUCGUUGUGCGCUCGUAAACCAACAAGUUGGGUUGUGAGCUUGUAAAACAACCGACUGUAAUCUGUAGGAUUAUAGUGAAAUUUCCAAGAAGUCUUGGGGAGUGGAUGUAGGUGCUGGGGUGCACCGAACCACUAUAUGUUUGCUGUGUUUAUAAUGUUUUUUUGUCAUUAUCUAACUCACACACUUACUCACUUAGAUAAAUUGCUUGCUUAACUAUUAUCCGCGAAUUCUUUAGUUGCAAGCAUACUCAAUCAAGUCACAUUCUAUACAUCAAACUGUCGCUAAGUUUAACUUUCACUACGC